CUGGCCGCGCUCUUCCCGCUUCUUCGCAGUCUUCGGCCCUCUUCUGUCGCCGCCAUGAGCACUGGCACCUUCGUCGUGUCGCAGCCGCUCAAUUACCGCGGCGGGGCCCGCGUGGAGCCGGCGGACGCCUCCGGCACCGAGAAAGCUUUCGAGCCAGCAACCGGUAACUGCACCGAGCCGGGGAGGCUGGGGCGCCCUGGGGCCGGGUGCGCGGAUUUCCCGGCCAGCCCGUGUUUCCUGUGUUCUGCAGGGUUGACUUGAGCACAGACAGUGACAGUGGAGGGUCUAAGGCCGAGUGAUAGCUACUUUCACAUGUUCAGGAGAAAAGGAAGUAAAUUUGGCUGUUCAAAAUGCAAAGGCUGCUUUUAAAAUAUGGAGUCAAAAAUCUGGCAUGGAGCGUUGCCGAAUCCUUUUGGAGGCUGCCAGGAUAAUAAGGGAACGGGAGGGUGAAAUUGCUACUAUGGAGUGUAUCAACAAUGGCAAGUCCAUCUUUGAGGCCCGCUUGGACAUCAACAUUUCCUGGCAGUGCCUGGAGUAUUAUGCGGGCUUGGCUGCAUCCAUGGCUGGUGAACACAUCCAGCUCCCAGGUGGAUCCUUUGGUUAUACCAGAAGAGAACCACUUGGGGUAUGUGUGGGAAUAGGAGCAUGGAACUACCCCUUUCAGAUCGCCUCUUGGAAGUCAGCUCCAGCAUUAGCCUGUGGUAAUGCCAUGGUCUUUAAACCUUCUCCCUUUACACCUGUUUCUGCAUUGCUACUGGCUGAAAUCUACACUGAGGCUGGUGUACCUCCUGGGCUCUUCAAUGUGGUGCAGGGAGGGGCUGCCACAGGCCAGUUUCUGUGUCAGCAUCCCGAUGUGGCCAAAGUCUCCUUCACUGGAAGUGUGCCCACUGGCAUGAAG
Molecule: small RNA, 898 nt
Filed under: Pongo abelii (Sumatran orangutan)
Lineage: Eukaryota; Metazoa; Chordata; Mammalia; Primates; Hominidae
Description: processed transcript
Source: RNAcentral